CCAGGGUCCUAGUUAAGAAGGCACAUUCCUAGAACCUGCCUCAGAACUACUGAACAAGGUCACUGGGUGUGGAGUCCAGGAAUCUGCAUUUUUACCCCUGUUGCCCCCGCC
This is a microRNA precursor of Chlorocebus sabaeus (green monkey), 111 nucleotides long. The record is from Ensembl. Lineage: Eukaryota; Metazoa; Chordata; Mammalia; Primates; Cercopithecidae.